Molecule: ribosomal RNA, 492 nt
Filed under: uncultured bacterium
Lineage: Bacteria
Description: partial 16S ribosomal RNA
Rfam family: Bacterial small subunit ribosomal RNA
Source: RNAcentral
AGUGAACGCUGGCGGUAGGCCUAACACAUGCAAGUCGAACGGCAGCACAGUAAGAGCUUGCUCUUACGGGUGGCGAGUGGCGGACGGGUGAGGAAUACAUCGGAAUCUACUUUUUCGUGGGGGAUAACGUAGGGAAACUUACGCUAAUACCGCAUACGACCUACGGGUGAAAGCAGGGGAUCUUCGGACCUUUCGCGAUUGAAUGAGCCGAUGUCGGAUUAGCUAGUUGGCGGGGUAAAGGCCCACCAAGGCGACGAUCCGUAGCUGGUCUGAGAGGAUGAUCAGCCACACUGGAACUGAGACACGGUCCAGACUCCUACGGGAGGCAGCAGUGGGGAAUAUUGGGCAAUGGGCGCAAGCCUGACCCAGCAAUGCCGCGUGAGUGAAGAAGGUCUUCGGGUUGUAAAGCUCUGUUAUUAGGAAAGAACAGCAGUGUGUUUAUCCGUGGACGUCUUGACGGUACCCAAAGAAAAAGCACCGGCUAACUACGUG